GCACAAGCGGUGGAGCAUGUGGUUAAUUCGACGCAACGCGAAGAACCUUACCAGGGCUUGACAUCCCCUGACCGCGUAUGAAAGUACGUUUUCGACCCUCGGGUGACAGGGAGACAGGUGGUGCAUGGUUGUCGUCAGCUCGUGUCGUGAGAUGUUGGGUUAAGUCCCGCAACGAGCGCAACCCCUACGUUUAGUUGCUAACAGGUGAAGCUGAGCACUCUAGACGAACUGCCGUUGACAAAACGGAGGAAGGUGGGAUGACGUCAAAUCAUCAUGCCCCUUAUGUUCUGGGCUACACACGUGCUACAAUGGCCGGUACAGACGGAGGCGAAGCCGCGAGGCGGAGCAAAUCCGAAAAAGCCGGUCUCAGUUCGGAUUGCAGGCUGCAAUUCGCCUGCAUGAAGUCGGAAUCGCUAGUAAUCGCAGGUCAGCAUACUGCGGUGAAUACGUUCCCGGGCCUU
Molecule: ribosomal RNA, 461 nt
Filed under: uncultured Pelotomaculum sp.
Lineage: Bacteria; Bacillati; Bacillota; Clostridia; Eubacteriales; Desulfotomaculaceae
Description: bacterial SSU rRNA
Rfam family: Bacterial small subunit ribosomal RNA
Source: RNAcentral